Molecule: long non-coding RNA, 1338 nt
Filed under: Homo sapiens (human)
Lineage: Eukaryota; Metazoa; Chordata; Mammalia; Primates; Hominidae
Description: HSALNT0260016
Source: RNAcentral
UAACGAGACCCUUAAUCGCUGGGUUGAAGUUUCUAAUCAAGAAGAUGCUCAUCUAUGUAUUCAACAAAGCAGCUUCCCUUGCUUCUGAAAUGCUUCCAAACAACAUCUCAUAUUUCCUGAAGAAGAUAAUGCCUGGACAAGCAGCACAAGUCAUUCAGGAGGAAGAGGGUAAUCUGGAAGAGUUUCCUGACCUACUCUGCUGCUGUGAUUAAACAACCACCAGGAAAUUUUGAUGACACUGUUCUCCUGAGCUCCUCCCUUUCCUCGGGGAAGAAAAGCAUUGAAACUACAAAAAUAAAGUGUUAUUUGGCUGGAGUGAGGUCUCAUGUCUGCUUAUGCGGUGGCUCGCUGCUCAGAACAGGGAACCAUUGGAGAUACUCAUUACUCUUUGAAGGCUUACAGUGGAAUGAAUUCAAAUACGACUUAUUUGAGGAAUUGAAGUUGACUUUAUGGAGCUGAUAAGAAUCUUCUUGGAGAAAAAAAGACUGGUACUUCUGAAUUAACCAAAAUCACAGUAUUCUGAAGAUGAUUCUACAAAGCCUGCUGUUUCUACAAAGGCUGCUGAUGAUUUCUACAAAGCCUGCUGUAGUGUUGCUGUGGCCUCUGCUUAAAAAAGUAGAAAACACAUUGAUGCAGCAUGUUCACCCCAACCUCCCUGCCUAAAGGCUCAGGGACCAUCUUGGAAGAGGAAGGCGCGUGAGAUUGUAAGAGCCGAAUUAGGGGGAUGGAGUGUGGAGAAUAAGGACACUUCAUCUUGGAUGCUCACCUGCCAAAUUGACUUCUGAUGAAAGCCAGCUCCAGAAAUGUGCCUACAGUUACUACUUUCACCUAAACCCUGCCCUUAGUCAAAUCCUUCUCUUCUUCUAAGCAAUCAACUUCAAUUCCUUGUAUAACCCACAGUAUAAAAGGGCUUUUAUACCAUUCUAUCCUAUUGCAUGUAAGCCUUGGGUCUGGGAGGUAACAGUGUGGGAUUCCACCAUCUCAUCUCCCUGCCACCCAAACAUGCCUGCUCUUCUUUAAGCAAUAUUAAAUGUUUGUACUUCAGAAAUUUGAUUUGUCAGCCUCUUCUUCAGACUCUCAGCUUCUUUGGCCUUUGGGAGUAAAUUUGCAUAGGCCUGCUCAAAACAGGAUGUUCUGGGGGUUUGGGGGUGUUGUUUUGUUUUGUUUUUUGUUUUGUUUAGAGACAGGGUCUCACUCUGUCACCCAGGUUGGAGUGCAGUGGUGCAAUCAUGGCACACUGCAGCCUCAAACUCCUAGGCUCAAGCAAUCCCCCCACCUUGGCCUCCCAAAGUUCUGGGAUUACAAGCAUAAGCCACCAUGCCCAGCCCUGGACUUUUC